This 440-nucleotide ribosomal RNA is filed under the name uncultured bacterium. Its description in RNAcentral is "partial 16S ribosomal RNA". It matches the Rfam family "Bacterial small subunit ribosomal RNA", at positions 338 to 795 of the family's 1533-position model. The record is from RNAcentral.
CCUACGGGAGGCAGCAGUGGGGAAUAUUGCACAAUGGGGGAAACCCUGAUGCCGUGACGCCGCGUGAGUGAAGAAGUAUUUCGGUAUGUAAAGCUCUAUCAGCAGGGAAGAAAAUGACGGUACCUUAUUAAGUAGCCUCCGCCAACUACGUGCCAGCAGCCGCGGUAAUACGGAGGGGGCAAGCGUUAUCCGGAUUUACUUGGUGUAAAGGGAGCGUAGACGGCGGCACAAGUCUGGUGUGAAAAGCCGGGGCUUAACCCCGGAACUGCAUUGAAAACUAUGCACCUUGAGUUCUGGAGAGGUAAGUGGAAUUCCUAGUGUAGCGGUGAAAUGCGUAGAUAUUAGGAGGAACACCAGUGGCGAAGGCGACUUACUGGACUGUAACUGACGUUGAGGCACGAAAGCGUGGGGAGCAAACAGGAUUAGAUACCCCAGUAGUC